This 846-nucleotide ribosomal RNA is filed under the name bacterium CBIC10I1. Its description in RNAcentral is "bacterial SSU rRNA". It matches the Rfam family "Bacterial small subunit ribosomal RNA", at positions 41 to 906 of the family's 1533-position model. The record is from RNAcentral.
GGGGAGCGGGCUACCUGCAGUCGAGCGAUGAAGCUCCUUCGGGAGUGAAUUAGCGGCGGACGGGUGAGUAACACGUGGGUAACCUGCCUCAUAGAGGGGAAUAGCCUUCCGAAAGGGAGAUUAAUACCGCAUAACAUAGCACUACCGCAUGGUAGAGUUAUCAAAGGAGCAAUCCGCUAUGAGAUGGACCCGCGGCGCAUUAGCUAGUUGGUGAGGUAACGGCUCACCAAGGCGACGAUGCGUAGCCGACCUGAGAGGGUGAUCGGCCACAUUGGAACUGAGACACGGUCCAGACUCCUACGGGAGGCAGCAGUGGGGAAUAUUGCGCAAUGGGGGAAACCCUGACGCAGCAACGCCGCGUGAGUGAAGAAGGCCUUAGGGUUGUAAAGCUCUGUCAUAUGGGAAGAUAAUGACGGUACCAUAAGAGGAAGCCACGGCUAACUACGUGCCAGCAGCCGCGGUAAUACGUAGGUGGCGAGCGUUGUCCGGAUUUACUGGGCGUAAAGGAUGCGUAGGCGGAUAUUUAAGUGGGAUGUGAAAUCCCCGAGCUUAACUCGGGGGCUGCAUUCCAAACUGGAUAUCUAGAGUGUCGGAGGGGAAAGUGGAAUUCCUAGUGUAGCGGUGAAAUGCGUAGAGAUUAGGAAGAACACCAGUGGCGAAGGCGACUUUCUGGACGAUAACUGACGCUGAGGCAUGAAAGCGUGGGGAGCAAACAGGAUUAGAUACCCUGGUAGUCCACGCCGUANACGAUGAAUACUANGUGUANGAGGUAUCGACUCCUUCUGUGCCGCAUUAACACAUUAAGUAUUCCGCCUGGGGAGUACGAUCGNCAGAUUAAACUCAAAG